Molecule: long non-coding RNA, 3696 nt
Organism: Esox lucius (northern pike)
Lineage: Eukaryota; Metazoa; Chordata; Actinopteri; Esociformes; Esocidae
Source: Ensembl
CAGAAAGACAGAAACAGGGUAAUUAAGUAAUUAAACAUGAAAUAAUGUUUCUAAUUCAGUUAAAUAAGUAAACAGUAUGAAACAAUUCCCAUAUAAUAUUUAAUGAUAUCUGGUCCCUGGCUAUGAACACACUCCAGGAGUGUCUCAGGGAAUACAGAAUACCUUUCCAUUUCAUGCCUACACAGUUGAACAUGCGUGAAACACAGUUUGACCUUUGAAACCGAAAACAUAAAAUCUAAGCUGGUAUUUUAAACAAUAAAACCUGGCCUUUAGGAGAUUCCCUAGUGCCCUUAUAAGACAAUAGGGUCAAGCAUCCAAUGAUAAACAUAUGAUAUAACAAAAACACUGACUGAAUGACUUAAAACAGUGGUCCCCAACCACGGUCCCCCUAACUGUACACAUUUUCAUUGUAGCCCUAGCCAAGCACAGCUGACUCAUCUUGUCAACUAAUUAUCAGGCUUUCAUUGAGUUGAAUUGGGUGUGCUUGUCCAGGGCUACAACAAAAAUGUGUGCUGUUGAGGGUACUUGAGGACUGGAAUUAGAAACCACAGACUUAAAACAUUACAAUCAUUCAGAACCCAAGAUAGGGAAAAUGAAUGGCAUGGUUUUCUAGAGGGCCGUUGAUGUGACUGUUUUGCAUGCGUUUUCAGGAGAAAAUGUUUUAACGCUAAAUAAAGCAAUGCUAUUUUGCAUCAUCUACCCUGUACACUUUUCCUAUUAAUGUAUCAUAAAUAUAACAGUUUUCACAUUUAUACAGAACAAAACUCUAUACUCUCCUGUAAAAAAAAAACAUAGAAAUUCCAGAAUACCAGUAUAUAUAUAUAUAUAUAUAUAUAUAUAUAUAUAUAUAUAUAUAUAUAUAUAUAUAUAUAUAUAUAUAUAUACUUUUUUUUUUUAAGUAUAGUGCAAAGAUAUGGUCAACCACGCCCCGGAUGGAAAGUGGUCAUAAAUGGAGAGAUACAAGGUAUGAAGCGACGCUGGCUGAUGCUUUGAGAUUGUAUCAUUUGGCUUCAUGCAUUCAUAUUUCUUGUUAAGGAGGCCCAUGACAUUUACGGCAGGAAGAGGGCUUUCCAAGGGUUUGAGGGCAUGGCAGUACUAGUGGAGCUGAGCCUGGGGCCAGGACUGGGACUGGGCCCCUGGGAAUUGAUACGACGUACUGGAGCCAGAAGCCUCUGCCCUGACACUCAGACACACACACACACACACACACACACACACAGGAAUGCAUGCAUGCACACAAACAAGCAUGCGCAUAAAACACACAAAAAGGAAUGCACGCAGGCACCCAUGUAAAUGGAUGUGCACGCACACACACAACCUCUUCCUGCCAACAGCAGCGGGUUCCUCUGGAUGGGGAGAAUUCGGCAGUCAUUCUAGACAAGAAAAAUAAGACAGCUAAACUACAGAGGGGUUACACACACACUCAUUAACACACAGCCUGGCGUUUGGCACACACACACACCUUCACACUAUCACAUGCAACAUCUCCCUCAGGGAAUAAAUGAAGGGUAAUCCUGAAGCCUCCUUUUAGCUCCCUCUUUGGAUAGAAAAUGGGGUGUGUCACAGAUGAGUUACACUUGUGGUAUGCUGGUAUUCCAUAGAUUAUAACGAAGCACAGAAGAUCCACCAUGGUUACACCGCCACUCAUUCGGCUGGUGUUUCAAUAGGGGAACAACCAUGUGACCCCUACAGAGAGUGCACUGACAGGGCAGAGGUCAGGAGUACUUUUAUAUUGGCAGUGGAGCACAGCAGAUAUACCUAACCACACAGCUGACCACAGCACUUCUGCUACCUCUUCUAGGACAAAAGGUCUUCUUCAAAGUUAUGUUCGAGCUACUUUCACUUCUAUCAAAAAAUUUCCUCUGCGUGGAGACUUGACAUUAUGUCAGAAUAUACUUUUCUUGCUUUAGUAAACUCUUUGCAGUGUAUCACAGUUGGUGACCAUACCUUUUCAUGACCACAGUCAAUCCACGUUGUCACAGCAACAGUAUCUAAAAACAGUUUAGUAAUGUCUCAUGUCUUGCCUUUCCAUCAGAGAAAAAGAUCACAAAUAUAAACUUGGGAAUUAGAAAUGGCAGAGAUUAUUAAGGCAGAAUUGGCAAUGGAUCAAAGUGGUUAACAUUUGAGUCUAUCCAUAAAACAGUGCUAUAAAAGCUUUAUCACGGGAUCCAUUAAUACAUUCACACCCAAAUAAAAGUCAACACCCUUGAGAAACGUGAUUUAACUGUUUCUCUGUGUGCACAUGUGAAGUGAAACCAGUCACAAGGACAGCAAUACAGCACACCACAAACCAUCAGCUAAAGGUCUUGAUCCUGUAGUACAGGGUGUUGUCUAGCCAUCAGCUAAAGGUCUUGAUCCUGUAGUACAGGGUGUUGUCCAGCCAUCAGCUAAAGGUCUUGAUCCUGUAGUACAGGGUGUUGUCCAGCCAUCAGCUAAAGGUCUUGAUCCUGUAGUAUAGGGUGUUGUCUAGCCAUCAGCUAAAGGUCUUGAUCCUGUAGUACAGGGUGUUGUCUAGCCAUCAGCUAAAGGUCUUGAUCCUGUAGUAUAGGGUGUUGUCUAGCCAUCAGCUAAAGAUCUUGAUCCUGUAGUAUAGGGUGUUGUCUAGCCAUCAGCUAAAGGUCUUGAUCCUGUAGUACAGGGUGUUGUCCAGCCAUCAGCUAAAGGUCUUGAUCCUGUAGUAUAGGGUGUUGUCUAGCCAUCAGCUAAAGGUCUUGAUCCUGUAGUACAGGGUGUUGUCUAGCCAUCAGCUAAAGGUCUUAACCCAUGGGUUCAGAGCCACUGUAGGUAUAAGCACAGUCAUUAAGGGCCCCUAUACGAACAUUAUAUGUUAAGUUGAGUCACAAUCACUGAUGACACUCAACUAAACCAUCUCUGCUAAUUCACUUUUGAUUAAAAAGACAAUCUAAAUAUUUACAAAAGUUGUCCUCUUUCUAAACAAUACAUCAUGUCAAAAUUCCUCUCAGAUGUUUGAGUGUUGGCUGUUACAUUUAUAAAUGAAAUGCUGCACCUCCACAUGUUUUCCCAGUAGCUCAAGGUUAAAAAAUGGAACUCGUUAAGUAACCCAGAAAACAAGCUGGAUUGUGGGUCAGUUACAGUCUGAGCAACUGGGCAUCUUUAAAACACACAGGAAUUAGCCUUUUAAUUGAAUUUGAAUUAAAUUGAGUAUAAUAGUGAAGUAUAAAUUGUAUUCAAAUGUCAGUAUAUUUUACUGUACACAUCAGCAAAAUAAUAAUUCUGAUACAUGAAAAUGAUUACAGUGUUCAUAUUUAUGAUAAUCACAAUGUUAGUCUAAUGCUAAUCUGCCUUGCCACAACCUAACUGCCCAAAAUAUUUAUAGCUGAACAGUUUCUCCAAUAAAAACAUAUCUUGCUUGUCUAUAGGUUCUAUUAGUAGUUGCCUACAACAGCAUCCAAACCGAUUAUCUUGUAGUACCAGUUUCAGAACCUUGGCGCAAUAGCUUAAAAUGUGGCUAUUGGGUAGAAUACAUAAUUAAAUGAAAAUAAUCCGUUCUAGACCCUGUAUCCUUCACUAAAGUGAAUACAUUUCAGUGAAACGUGCUCAUCUUCGCCUUAUCCUUUAGGGCUGGCCCAAAACAGUUGCUAGGGAGACAACAUGAGAAUGUUCAAACAUGUCUUCCUUCAUUAUUAUAAAUGACGGAUAUAAGAAUAUAAGGACUUAAACUAAGUUGCCUUCGAU